Molecule: transfer RNA, 73 nt
Filed under: Ovis aries (sheep)
Lineage: Eukaryota; Metazoa; Chordata; Mammalia; Artiodactyla; Bovidae
Rfam family: tRNA
About the family: Transfer RNA (tRNA) molecules are approximately 80 nucleotides in length. Their secondary structure includes four short double-helical elements and three loops (D, anti-codon, and T loops).
Source: Rfam by way of RNAcentral
UCCCUUAUGGUCUAGUGGUUAAGACUCUGAAUUCCCAAUGCAGAGGGUGCCGGUUCAAUCCCUGGUCAGGGAA